Molecule: ribosomal RNA, 1375 nt
Rfam family: Bacterial small subunit ribosomal RNA
GCCUUUAUUAAGGUGUCUUCCCCCCCGGAGGGCCGCGGGCGGGUGCUAACAUGCAGUCGAACGAUAAACCCCAGCUUGCUGGGUGGAUUAGUGCGAACGGGUGAGUAACACGUGAGUAACCUGCCCUUAACUCUGGGAUAAGCCUGGGAAACUGGGUCUAAUACCGGAUAGGAGCGCCUACCGCAUGGUGGGUGUUGGAAAGAUUUAUCGGUUUUGGAUGGACUCGCGGCCUAUCAGCUUGUUGGUGAGGUAAUGGCUCACCAAGGCGACGACGGGUAGCCGGCCUGAGAGGGUGACCGGCCACACUGGGACUGAGACACGGCCCAGACUCCUACGGGAGGCAGCAGUGGGGAAUAUUGCACAAUGGGCGCAAGCCUGAUGCAGCGACGCCGCGUGAGGGAUGACGGCCUUCGGGUUGUAAACCUCUUUCAGUAGGGAAGAAGCGAAAGUGACGGUACCUGCAGAAGAAGCACCGGCUAACUACGUGCCAGCAGCCGCGGUAAUACGUAGGGUGCGAGCGUUAUCCGGAAUUAUUGGGCGUAAAGAGCUCGUAGGCGGUUUGUCGCGUCUGUCGUGAAAGUCCGGGGCUUAACCCCGGAUCUGCGGUGGGUACGGGCAGACUAGAGUGCAGUAGGGGAGACUGGAAUUCCUGGUGUAGCGGUGGAAUGCGCAGAUAUCAGGAGGAACACCGAUGGCGAAGGCAGGUCUCUGGGCUGUAACUGACGCUGAGGAGCGAAAGCAUGGGGAGCGAACAGGAUUAGAUACCCUGGUAGUCCAUGCCGUAAACGUUGGGCACUAGGUGUGGGGACCAUUCCACGGUUUCCGCGCCGCAGCUAACGCAUUAAGUGCCCCGCCUGGGGAGUACGGCCGCAAGGCUAAAACUCAAAGGAAUUGACGGGGGCCCGCACAAGCGGCGGAGCAUGCGGAUUAAUUCGAUGCAACGCGAAGAACCUUACCAAGGCUUGACAUGUUCUCGAUCGCCGUAGAGAUACGGUUUCCCCUUUGGGGCGGGUUCACAGGUGGUGCAUGGUUGUCGUCAGCUCGUGUCGUGAGAUGUUGGGUUAAGUCCCGCAACGAGCGCAACCCUCGUUCCAUGUUGCCAGCACGUAGUGGUGGGGACUCAUGGGAGACUGCCGGGGUCAACUCGGAGGAAGGUGAGGACGACGUCAAAUCAUCAUGCCCCUUAUGUCUUGGGCUUCAGCAUGCUACAAUGGCCGGUCAAUGGGUUGCGAUACUGUGAGGUGGAACUAAUCCCAAAAAGCCGGUCCAGUUCGGAAUGGGGUCUGCAACUCGACCCCUGAAAUCGGAAUCCCUAGAAUCCCAAAUCACAACCGGCCAGAAAUCGGCGCCUUUUUUAUUACCGAACAAAGAAAGA